ACGAACGCUGGCGGCGUGCCUAACACAUGCAAGUCGAACGCGAAAGUCCUUCGGGGCGAGUAGAGUGGCGCACGGGUGAGUAAUGAAUAGGAACGUACCUUUUGGUGGGGAAUAACUUCGGGAAACCGGAGCUAAUACCGCAUAAGAACGAAAGUUGAAAGAGGGCCUCUACUUGUAAGCUCUCGCCGAAAGAUCGGCCUAUUUUCCAUUAGCUUGUUGGUGGGGUAAAGGCCUACCAAGGCGACGAUGGAUAGCUGGUCUGAGAGGAUGAUCAGCCACACUGGAACUGAGACACGGUCCAGACUCCUACGGGAGGCAGCAGUGGGGAAUCUUGCACAAUGGGCGAAAGCCUGAUGCAGCAACGCCGCGUGAGUGAAGAAGGCUCUUGGGUCGUAAGGCUCUUUCGGCUAGGAAGAAGGGUUUCUGGGUUAACACCCCAGAGAUUUGACGGUACUAGAAGAAGAAGCACUGGCUAAUUCCGUGCCAGCAGCCGCGGUAAU
RNAcentral lists this ribosomal RNA (500 nucleotides) under uncultured bacterium. RNAcentral describes it as "bacterial SSU rRNA". It matches the Rfam family "Bacterial small subunit ribosomal RNA", at positions 29 to 524 of the family's 1533-position model. The record is from RNAcentral.